GUACUACUCAAUUUGGCAGUAUAUAUACUAAAAUUGGCAUGAUACAGAGAAGAUUAGCAUGGCCCCUGCUCAAGGAUGAUAUGCAAAUUGACAUGCAAAUUCAUGAAGUGUU
Molecule: small nuclear RNA, 112 nt
Organism: Octodon degus (degu)
Lineage: Eukaryota; Metazoa; Chordata; Mammalia; Rodentia; Octodontidae
Source: RefSeq, a predicted model, not a curated record